This 412-nucleotide ribosomal RNA is filed under the name uncultured Planctomycetota bacterium. Its description in RNAcentral is "bacterial SSU rRNA". It matches the Rfam family "Bacterial small subunit ribosomal RNA", at positions 505 to 918 of the family's 1533-position model. Lineage: Bacteria; Pseudomonadati; Planctomycetota. The record is from RNAcentral.
GUGCCAGCAGCGGCGGUAAUACGUAGGGGGCAAGCGUUGUCCGGAUUUACUGGGUGUAAAGGGUGCUCAGGUGGAUUUGUUAGUCGGAGGUGAAACUCCGGAGCUUAACUCCGGAACUGCCUCCGAAACAGCAAGUCUUGAGUUUGGUAGAGGAUGAUGGAAUAUCUGGUGUAGCAGUGAAAUGCGUAGAUAUCAGAUAGAACACCAAUGGCGAAGGCAGUCAUCUGGGCCAUAACUGACACUAAAGCACGAAAGCGUGGGGAUCAAACAGGAUUAGAUACCCUGGUAGUCCACGCCCUAAACGAUGAGUACUAGAUGUUGGUCCCAUAGGGGUCAGUAUCCAAGCUAACGCAUUAAGUACUCCACCUGGGAAGUACGAUCGCAAGGUUGAAACUCAAAGGAAUUGACGGGG